Sander lucioperca (pikeperch) is the source of this 1723-nucleotide RNA transcript. RefSeq lists it as uncharacterized. Lineage: Eukaryota; Metazoa; Chordata; Actinopteri; Perciformes; Percidae. The transcript is spliced from 5 exons. The record is from RefSeq and is a predicted model, not a curated record.
ACAACUACAGAUCAUUGUCACUUUGUUCAGCGCUAAGCGUCAGUAACAUUCACAAUCCUAAUAUUGACAGUGCUAAAUUUUAAGUAAAAAGGGGUGACAUAAUUUAUUGUAUUGUUGUUUCAUCAGCUUAAUUUAAGAGAAUCAAAUGGUUUAAUGUAGGCCUAGCCUAUACUGUCACCAGUUUUAGUGAAAUGUUGAAGGACAUAAAUCAUUGAAUGACAGCAAACUUUAAAGUUGUUGUUGUAGAGUUCUAGAAAUAAAAUAGCCUAUUAUGUGCCAUGUGUUAUGGGUUAAUAAAAGGAUGAAUACAUAUCAAGUAUGAUGUCUGCUUUGUUUUGUAGGGCCAAAAUUCAGCAUCACAAUACUUUCAACAAAGAUGUCAUCCUUCUUUCGAAGCCAUCAAGCAGUGUCGUUGUCAACCAUCGCACUAAACAACGGUUACAUGAAUACGGACAUAUAUUGAAUGGGUAUGAAUUCCAGAAGUCUUGGGACCAGAAGACUGUCACUGAACAAAUAAGGGAAGCCUUUGGAGAAAAACUGUCAGCUGAAGUGAGCCUUGAGUUUCUGAUGGCAUGUGGCAACAGAUUGAUUUCCCCCAAACUGCGUGCUGGACAGGAACUGGAUGCAAAUCUCAUACACAAAGUAUAUAAAUCGAAAGCCCUAUACCUCAGACCAUCAAAGCCAAUUUUGGUACUGGAUGAUGAUCCUUUUAAGGAUGAUAGCAGCGAUGACAACAAUUUGAGUUCAACUCGCCAACUGCGUUCCUCAUCCCUAACACAAGCUAGACACUGUUGUGCAUCUUCAGACAGUUUGAUCAGUCCAACAACUGCCUCCCCAUCAAACAGUACUUCUGCAGUUCAGUCUUUUGCCUCAUCACUUGGACGUGAAGUCUUAUCCACUCAUACUCCAGCCUCGAUCUACCACAGCAAUAUCUCACCUAACACCACCAUUUCAGCAGGCGGUUCUUCUAAUCAACUGCCAGUAUGUCCUUCCACCAGUCAGCCUUCUACCCUACCAUUUGGAGGAACAACUUCAGUUGAUCCAACCCUGGUCCUGACUUGGCCAAACGGUACAAGCUCACCCUACCAAAGCAGCACUCCAGCAAGUCAUUCCUCUGAGUUACCCUCUACCUCAACACACCAUCAAGCAACAAACUAUGAUAACUACCUUUCAAUAAUGUCUGUACUGUCUGACCUUUCCUCUGACGAGGAGGAACUGAACCAGGCUAUACUAGCAAGCUUGCAUAGUGAAAGGACCACAGGAUGUUGGAUAUAGAGAGAUAUCUUGCAACAAAAAUAACCCAACAGAAGAGAUGCAAGUUUAACAUUAACCGAUCAACAUUCUUGGAUGGAGCCAUCAGAGGUUUUAAACGAGGGACAUAUGAUCCAUGUCACACUAUUUCUGUCAGAUUUUCUGAUGAUAUGGGAGUACCUGAAGAGGCUGUGGACUUGGGUGGACCAAGAAGGGAAUUUCUAACACUGCUUAUGGAAGCUUUGCCCAGAUCUCAAAUGUUUGAGGGAGAAGAAGGCAAAAUGAACUUGGCCUUUGACAGUACUGCCAUGAGAGAGGACCGGUACUUCAUUGCAGGCAGGGCCAUCGCAGUAAAGCCUUGUACACGGUGGUCCUCCCGCAGGCUUUCUGUCCCCAACUCUCUUCUCUUGCCUUGUUGACGGCCCAGAAUUGGCAAAGCCAGUAUUGGCAGAUGUUGCAGAUAGUGACCUAC